RNAcentral lists this ribosomal RNA (253 nucleotides) under uncultured bacterium. Its description in RNAcentral is "partial 16S ribosomal RNA". It matches the Rfam family "Bacterial small subunit ribosomal RNA", at positions 524 to 776 of the family's 1533-position model. The record is from RNAcentral.
UACGAAGGGGGCUAGCGUUGCUCGGAUUGACUGGGCGUAAAGGGCGCGUAGGCGGUUCGUACAGUCAGACGUGAAAUUCCUGGGCUCAACCUGGGGGCUGCGUUUGAUACUGGGGAUCUCGAGUCCGGAAGAGGUAAGUGGAACUCCGAGUGUAGAGGUGGAAUUCGUAGAUAUUAGGAAGAACACCAGUGGCGAAGGCGGCUCACUGGUCCGGUACUGACGCUGAGGUGCGAAAGCGUGGGGAGCAAACAGG